AUGGCCGGGUUCGCCUCCUCGCGGCCGGCCUCCCUCGCGCUCUGCGGCUUCCUCAUCUUCCUCAACGUCUUCGCCUUCCUCCUCGCCGUCGGCGCCGAGCAGCGACGCAGCACCGUACGCCCCCCCGACCGCCCCUCCUCCGUUCGCGCGCCGCACCGGCUGAUGGCCCCUUCUUUCUCGCAGGGUAAGGUGGUGCCGGACGAGUACGACGAGCGCUCCUACUGCCUCUACGACACCGACGCCUCCACCGUCUACGGCGUCUGCGCCUUCUUCGUGCUCCUCCUCGCGCAGCUGCUGGUCACCGGCGUCACCCGCUGCCUCUGCUUCGGCCCCGCGCUCUCCUCCCGCGGCUGCGCCGUCGCCGCCUUCGCCGUCUCCUGGCUGACGUUCCUCAUCGCGGAGGCCUGCCUCGUCGGAGGAUCCGCGAAGAAUGCGUACCACACCAAGUACCUUGGGUACUACACGAAGCACGACCUGGUCAGCUGUGCCGCGCUCCGCAAGGGGGUGUUUGCGGCAGCUGCCGCCAUGAUGCUCAUCAACCUCGCAGCCUCCCUGGUGUACUACUGGAGCUACUCGAAGGCGGCGGACGGCGGGUUCAUCAAGCACCAGAACGAGGCCGGCGUGGGCAUGACCGACUACGGCCUCGACAGGGGCGGUAGCCCUGGGCUCUGA
Molecule: ribosomal RNA, 672 nt
Filed under: Triticum aestivum (bread wheat)
Lineage: Eukaryota; Viridiplantae; Streptophyta; Magnoliopsida; Poales; Poaceae
Description: partial small subunit ribosomal RNA
Source: RNAcentral